UUUUGAUUCAGUUCCAAUUGUAAGUGCCUUCUUUAAUAUAAAAUGCACUUACCUAAGUAUUUGUAUGAUUUAGUUGAUGAAGAGUCCAGGCUUCUGCAUCCUGGACAUAUGUGUUAUAUUUGUUAAAUGAUAUUUAUUGCUUAAUUGUUUGGUGAAGAGUCCAGGCUUCUGCAUCCUGGACAUAUGUGUUAUAUUUGUUAGAUGAUAUUUAUUGCUUAAUUGUUUGGUGAAGAGUCCAGGCUUCUGCAUCCUGGACAUACUUGCUUAAAUGAUAUUUAGGUGACAUGACUUAAUUUAUUACCUAUUUCUUGCAAUUUGACUAGUUAUGAAUUACUUCUUAGGAGUCGGAAGAAAAUGAGUCAUAAUCGUGAGUGGAUGUAUAAGCGUUUUAGUCAAGAUGGUGCUUUAGAUCAUGAUUUUCGAGUUGGGCUUGAAACUUUUAUCGAGUUUGCUCGUAGUCAGUCAUUGUUCAUGGAUGGGGAAAAGAUUAAGUGUCCAUGUAGGAGGUGUAAGAAUAAACCUUAUCACGAACAAAACACCGUGCGGUAUCAUAUUUUGAGAUUUGGAUUUGUUCCAAAUUAUCACACUUGGACUUUUCAAGGUGAGAUAUCAGCAAGUACGACAAAUGUUCUGUUAUCCUUAUAGUUUGCCAAGUAUUGCUUGUUGUGAACCUAUGCCCUCCCCAAAAAAUUCUGUAGGUUCUGAUGUUAUGGAUUUACUUCUUUUUCAUUUGUUUAGUUAGGGAGAUCUUGUUAUCUCUAUUUUAUUGGCUAAUGUUGGAUUUAAUUUGUGCAAAAUGGAUUAAUUUAUGUCGCAGAGGCAUGUAGACUUGAGCUAUAUUAGUGUCAUUGCUUGCUUUCAGUUUUGAGAUAUUGAUUCUUUGAUGUUCCACGGAGAUAAGAUAGCUUUAGCCUUUAGGUAAUUUAACUAUGGCCAAUUUGGCAAUGACUUGUUAACUUUUGCUAAACAUUGUUCCAUGAAUACAAUGUGUAUGUUUGUGUUGUUAAUCAUAACUAGUUUUAAUUAACUUGUUUAAUAGAGUGUUUAAUAUUGAAUUAUAUUGUAGAUGAAGGUGAAUGAGCGUAUUGAGACAUUGAGCCAGCCUGUUCCCGGCACAGAUGAGGUGCCAGAGGUGGAUAGGAAUGAGAUCUUCAAAAGUCUUAUCUAGCCCUCGAAGAAGAAGAGAUUGUUUGGUGCUGGCUCUCUUGCGCAUUGCUAUAUAAGUGGUUCAUCGAGUGCUGAUUCUGCAGCGACCUCCCAGCUCGAUUCCACUGCUCAGCAGAAGUUGGUGGAGGUGCAGGAACUGUUAGAGUUAGAGAGACAGGAGCGUCAUCAAAGCGAGGAAAAGAUGCAAGCAGAGCUGAGGGCACGAGACGAGGCACAAGCACAGAUGCAGGCACAGAUUCAGGCUCAGCUACGAGCUCAGCAGGAAGCGUUUGAGCAAGCUCUAUCGAAGCUAUAUAGUGGUAGAGGAGGCUCAUCAUCUUCCUCUUGAUCCUUUUAUCUUUAUAUGUUGGUUUGAAACUAUUUUGAACACUUUGAUUUUAACUUUUAGUUAUGUUGGAGAUUGAACUUGUUAUGUUGGAUUUCUAUGAAUUAAUGUGAUAUAAGACUUUUUGUUAUUUAUAUUUUGAUGAAUAAGUUGCAUUAAUA
RNAcentral lists this long non-coding RNA (1653 nucleotides) under Salvia miltiorrhiza (redroot sage). RNAcentral describes it as "long non-coding RNA (SMIL_LNC006656)". Lineage: Eukaryota; Viridiplantae; Streptophyta; Magnoliopsida; Lamiales; Lamiaceae. The record is from RNAcentral.